CCUACGGGGGGCAGCAGUAGGGAAUAUUGCUCAAUGGGGGAAACCCUGAAGCAGCAACGCCGCGUGGAGGAUGAAGGUUUUCGGAUUGUAAACUCCUUUUGUUAGAGAAGAUAAUGACGGUAUCUAACGAAUAAGCACCCGCUAACUCCGUGCCAGCAGCCGCGGUAAUACGGAGGGUGCAAGCGUUACUCGGAAUCACUGGGCGGAAAGAGCGCGUAGGCGGGAUAGCAAGUCAGAUGUGAAAUCCUAUGGCUUAACCAUAGAACUGCAUUUGAAACUGUUAUUCUAGAGUAUGGGAGAGGUAGGUGGAAUUCUUGGUGUAGGGGUAAAAUCCGUAGAGAUCAAGAGGAAUACUCAUUGCGAAGGCGACCUGCUAGAACAUAACUGACGCUGAUGCGCGAAAGCGUGGGGAGCAAACAGGAUUAGAUACCCCAGUAGUC
Molecule: ribosomal RNA, 440 nt
Filed under: uncultured bacterium
Lineage: Bacteria
Description: partial 16S ribosomal RNA
Rfam family: Bacterial small subunit ribosomal RNA
Source: RNAcentral